UAAACAGCCCAUCUACCUACCUCAUCCCCAUACUGGUAUUUAUUUAUCUUGCUCCUUUGCACCCCAGUAUCUCUACCUGCACAUUCAUCUUCUGCACAUCUACCAUUCCAGUGUUUUAAUUGCUAUAUUGUAAUUACUUCGCCACCAUGAGCCUAUCUAUUUCCUUAUCUUACUUAUCUUACCUCAUUUGCACUCACUGUAUAUAGACUUUUUUGUUUUAUUUUGUUCUAUUGUGUUAUUGACUGAAUGUUUUGUUUAUUCCAUGUGUAACUCUGUGUUGUUGUUUGUGUCGCACUGCUUUGCUUUAUCUUGGCCAGGUCACAGUUGUAAAUGUGAACUUGUUCUCAACCGGCCACGCCUACCUGGUUAAAUAAAGGUGUUCUCAACUAGCCUACCUGGUUAAAUAAAGGUGUUCUCAACUAGCCUACCUGGUUAAAUAAAGGUGUUCUCAACUAGCCUACCUGGUUAAAUAAAGGUGUUCUCAACUAGCCUACCUGGUUAAAUAAAGGUGUUCUCAACUAGCCUACCUGGUUAAAUAAAGGUGUUCUCAACUAGCCUACCUGGUUAAAUAAAGGUGUUCUCAUCUAGCCUACCUGGUUAAAUAAAGGUGUUCUCAACUAGCCUACCUGGUUAAAUAAAGGUGUUCUCAACUAGCCUACCUGGUUAAAUAAAGGUGUUCUCAACUAGCCUACCUGGUUAAAUAAAGGUGUUCUCAACUGGCCUACCUGGUUAAAUAAAGGUGUUCUCAACUAGCCUACCUGGUUAAAUAAAGGUGUUCUCAACAGGCCUACCUGGUUAAAUAAAGGUGUUCUCAACUAGCCUACAUGGUUAAAUAAAGGUGUUCUCAACUAGCCUACCUGGUUAAAUAAAGGUGUUCUCAACUGGCCUACCUGGUUCAAUAAAGGUGUUCUCAACUAGCCUACCUGGUUAAAUAAAUGUGUUCUCAACUAGCCUACCUGGUUAAAUAAAGGUGUUCUCAACUAGCCUACCUGGUUAAAUAAAGGUG
This is a long non-coding RNA of Oncorhynchus keta (chum salmon), 1006 nucleotides long. RefSeq lists it as uncharacterized. The record is from RefSeq and is a predicted model, not a curated record. The transcript has 2 exons. NCBI's taxonomy places the organism in Eukaryota, Metazoa, Chordata, Actinopteri, Salmoniformes, Salmonidae.